GGGAGUACGCCGCAAGUUGAACUCAAAGGAAUUGACGGGACCGCACAAGCGGUGAUGAUGUGGUUAAUUGAUGCAACGCGAAAACCUUACCCACCUUUGACAUGUACGGAAGUUGCCAGAGAUGGCUUCGUGCUCGAAAGAGAGCCGUAACACAGGUGCUGCAUGGCUGUCGUCAGCUCGUGCCGUGAGAUGUUGGGUUAAGUCCCGCAACGAGCGCAACCCUUGUCAUUAGUUGCUACGAAAGGGCACUCUAAUGAGACUGCCGGUGACAAACCGGAGGAAGGUGGGGAUGACGUCAAGUCCUCAUGGCCCUUAUAGGUGGGGCUACACACGUCAUACAAUGGCUGGUACAAAGGGUUGCCAACCCGCGAGGGGGAGCCAAUCCCAUAAAGCCAGUCGUAGUCCGGAUCGCAGUCUGCAACUCGACUGCGUGAAGUCGGAAUCGCUAGUAAUCGUGGAUCAGCAUGUCACGGUGAAUACGUUCCCGGGUCUUGUACACACCGCCCGUCACACCAUGGGAGCGGGUCUCGCCAGAAGUAGUUAGCCUAACCGCAAGGAGGGCGAUUACCACGGCGGGGUUCGUGACUGGGGUGAAGUCGUAACAAGGUAGCCGUA
Molecule: ribosomal RNA, 615 nt
Filed under: uncultured bacterium
Lineage: Bacteria
Description: bacterial SSU rRNA
Rfam family: Bacterial small subunit ribosomal RNA
Source: RNAcentral